This 515-nucleotide ribosomal RNA is filed under the name uncultured bacterium. RNAcentral's name for it is "partial 16S ribosomal RNA". It matches the Rfam family "Bacterial small subunit ribosomal RNA", at positions 28 to 523 of the family's 1533-position model. The record is from RNAcentral.
GAUGAACGCUGGCGGCGUGCCUAAUACAUGCAAGUCGAGCGAAUGGAUUAAGAGCUUGCUCUUAUGAAGUUAGCGGCGGACGGGUGAGUAACACGUGGGUAACCUACCCAUAAGACUAGGAUAACUCCGGGAAACCGGGGCUAAUACCGGAUAACAUUUUGAACCGCCUGGUUCGAAAUUGAAAGGCGGCUUCGGCUGUCACUUAAGGAUGGACCCGCGUCGCAUUAGCUAGUUGGUGAGGUAACGGCUCACCAAGGCAACGAUGCGUAGCCGACCUGAGAGGGUGAUCGGCCACACUGGGACUGAGACACGGCCCAGACUCCUACGGGAGGCAGCAGUAGGGAAUCUUCCGCAAUGGACGAAAGUCUGACGGAGCAACGCCGCGUGAGUGAUGAAGGCUUUCGGGUCGUAAAACUCUGUUGUUAGGGAAGAACAAGUGCUAGUUGAAUAAGCUGGCACCUUGACGGUACCUAACCAGAAAGCCACGGCUAACUACGUGCCAGCCGCCGCGGUAA